UACGGAGGGUGCAAGCGUUGUUCGGAUUUACUGGGCGUAAAGCGCGCGCAGGUGGGUGUGCAAGUCGGAAGUGAAAUCUUGAGGCUCAACCUCGAGGCUGCUCCCGAAACUGCACGCCUAGGGACUGGUAGAGGCUGGUAGAAUUCCCGGUGUAGCGGUGGAAUGCGUAGAGAUCGGGAAGAAUACCCGUGGCGAAGGCGGCCAGCUGGGCCAGGUCCGACACUGAGGCGCGAAAGCGUGGGGAGCGAACAGG
This 253-nucleotide ribosomal RNA is filed under the name uncultured bacterium. RNAcentral describes it as "partial 16S ribosomal RNA". It matches the Rfam family "Bacterial small subunit ribosomal RNA", at positions 524 to 776 of the family's 1533-position model. The record is from RNAcentral.